Molecule: ribosomal RNA, 1542 nt
Filed under: Escherichia coli 3003
Lineage: Bacteria; Pseudomonadati; Pseudomonadota; Gammaproteobacteria; Enterobacterales; Enterobacteriaceae
Description: bacterial SSU rRNA
Rfam family: Bacterial small subunit ribosomal RNA
Source: RNAcentral
AAAUUGAAGAGUUUGAUCAUGGCUCAGAUUGAACGCUGGCGGCAGGCCUAACACAUGCAAGUCGAACGGUAACAGAAAGCAGCUUGCUGCUUUGCUGACGAGUGGCGGACGGGUGAGUAAUGUCUGGGAAACUGCCUGAUGGAGGGGGAUAACUACUGGAAACGGUAGCUAAUACCGCAUAACGUCGCAAGACCAAAGAGGGGGACCUUCGGGCCUCUUGCCAUCGGAUGUGCCCAGAUGGGAUUAGCUAGUAGGUGGGGUAACGGCUCACCUAGGCGACGAUCCCUAGCUGGUCUGAGAGGAUGACCAGCCACACUGGAACUGAGACACGGUCCAGACUCCUACGGGAGGCAGCAGUGGGGAAUAUUGCACAAUGGGCGCAAGCCUGAUGCAGCCAUGCCGCGUGUAUGAAGAAGGCCUUCGGGUUGUAAAGUACUUUCAGCGGGGAGGAAGGGAGUAAAGUUAAUACCUUUGCUCAUUGACGUUACCCGCAGAAGAAGCACCGGCUAACUCCGUGCCAGCAGCCGCGGUAAUACGGAGGGUGCAAGCGUUAAUCGGAAUUACUGGGCGUAAAGCGCACGCAGGCGGUUUGUUAAGUCAGAUGUGAAAUCCCCGGGCUCAACCUGGGAACUGCAUCUGAUACUGGCAAGCUUGAGUCUCGUAGAGGGGGGUAGAAUUCCAGGUGUAGCGGUGAAAUGCGUAGAGAUCUGGAGGAAUACCGGUGGCGAAGGCGGCCCCCUGGACGAAGACUGACGCUCAGGUGCGAAAGCGUGGGGAGCAGACAGGAUUAGAUACCCUGGUAGUCCACGCCGUAAACGAUGUCGACUUGGAGGUUGUGCCCUUGAGGCGUGGCUUCCGGAGCUAACGCGUUAAGUCGACCGCCUGGGGAGUACGGCCGCAAGGUUAAAACUCAAAUGAAUUGACGGGGGCCCGCACAAGCGGUGGAGCAUGUGGUUUAAUUCGAUGCAACGCGAAGAACCUUACCUGGUCUUGACAUCCACGGAAGUUUUCAGAGAUGAGAAUGUGCCUUCGGGAACCGUGAGACAGGUGCUGCAUGGCUGUCGUCAGCUCGUGUUGUGAAAUGUUGGGUUAAGUCCCGCAACGAGCGCAACCCUUAUCCUUUGUUGCCAGCGGUCCGGCCGGGAACUCAAAGGAGACUGCCAGUGAUAAACUGGAGGAAGGUGGGGAUGACGUCAAGUCAUCAUGGCCCUUACGACCAGGGCUACACACGUGCUACAAUGGCGCAUACAAAGAGAAGCGACCUCGCGAGAGCAAGCGGACCUCAUAAAGUGCGUCGUAGUCCGGAUUGGAGUCUGCAACUCGACUCCAUGAAGUCGGAAUCGCUAGUAAUCGUGGAUCAGAAUGCCACGGUGAAUACGUUCCCGGGCCUUGUACACACCGCCCGUCACACCAUGGGAGUGGGUUGCAAAAGAAGUAGGUAGCUUAACCUUCGGGAGGGCGCUUACCACUUUGUGAUUCAUGACUGGGGUGAAGUCGUAACAAGGUAACCGUAGGGGAACCUGCGGUUGGAUCACCUCCUUA